UUCUGGCUCAGGAUGAACGCUAGCGGCAGGCUUAACACAUGCAAGUCGAGGGGCAUCGGGAGUAGCAAUACUUGCCGGCGACCGGCGCAAGGGUGCGUAACGCGUGAGCAACAUGCCCGUAUCAGGGGGAUAAUCCAUGGAAACGUGGUCUAAUACCCCAUAGUAAUUAUGUAAGGCAUCUUAUAUAAUUUAAAGCUUUGGUGGAUACGGAUUGGCUCGCGUGACAUUAGCUAGAUGGUAAGGUAACGGCUUACCAUGGCUACGAUGUCUAGGGGUUCUGAGAGGAAGGUCCCCCACACUGGAACUGAGACACGGUCCAGACUCCUACGGGAGGCAGCAGUGAGGAAUAUUGGACAAUGGAUGGAAAUCUGAUCCAGCCAUGCCGCGUGCAGGAAAGACGGCCCUAUGGGUUGUAAACUGCUUUUGUAUGGGAGCAAUAAGGGCUACGUGUAGUCCGAUGAGAGUACCAUACGAAUAAGCACCGGCUAACUCCGUGCCAGCCGCAGC
RNAcentral lists this ribosomal RNA (507 nucleotides) under uncultured bacterium. RNAcentral describes it as "bacterial SSU rRNA". It matches the Rfam family "Bacterial small subunit ribosomal RNA", at positions 17 to 518 of the family's 1533-position model. The record is from RNAcentral.